This 439-nucleotide ribosomal RNA is filed under the name uncultured bacterium. RNAcentral describes it as "partial 16S ribosomal RNA". It matches the Rfam family "Bacterial small subunit ribosomal RNA", at positions 339 to 795 of the family's 1533-position model. The record is from RNAcentral.
CUACGGGUUGCUCCAGUGAGGAAUAUUGCACAAUGGGGGGAACCCUGAUGCAGCAACGCCGCGUGGAGGAUGACACAUUUCGGUGUGUAAACUCCUUUUAUAUGUCAAGAAAAUGACGGUAGCAUAUGAAUAAGCACCGGCUAACUCCGUGCCAGCAGCCGCGGUAAUACGGAGGGUGCAAGCGUUACUCGGAAUCGCUGGGCGUAAAGGACGCGUAGGCGGGUUGGAAAGUCAGGUGUGAAAUCCUACAGCUUAACUGUAGAACUGCACUUGAAACUUCUAAUCUAGAGUAUGGGAGGGGGAGAUGGAAUUAGUGGUGUAGGGGUAAAAUCCGUAGAUAUCACUAGGAAUACCUAAAGCGAAGGCGAUCUCCUGGAACAUUACUGACGCUAAGGCGUGAAAGCGUGGGGAGCAAACAGGAUUAGAUACCCUUGUAGUC